GACAUCUGAUUUUUGUGUGACAGCAUUGAAAACAAUGAUCUCCAUCUACAUGAUCAUCACAUCUGUGGCAUCAACAGCUCUGGCAAAAGGGUUUAUGGAAUGCAAUUUGUCUGAACUGACUGGAGCUCACCAGUGUUUUGGAGCAGUGGGGCAGCCGUUGAUUUUUAAUAUUCCAAACACAGCAAAUACAGAGAUUAAGGUCACAAAGGAUGACAAAUAUCACAUUUUCAAAAGAGAUACAAAUCAGAAAGUGACUUACAAUGAGUCUGGAGUCUUGACCAAUCAAAUAUUCAAAAUCAAUAAUGCAACAAAAAGGCCCUCUGGGGUUUACCAGAUGGAAGAAUUUGGAUCGAAUGGUACUUUACUGAAAGUAGUGAAGAUGCAUCUAGAAAUACAAG
Long non-coding RNA from Scomber scombrus (Atlantic mackerel), 398 nucleotides. RefSeq lists it as uncharacterized. The record is from RefSeq and is a predicted model, not a curated record. Lineage: Eukaryota; Metazoa; Chordata; Actinopteri; Scombriformes; Scombridae. The transcript has 3 exons.